RNAcentral lists this ribosomal RNA (1155 nucleotides) under uncultured bacterium. RNAcentral describes it as "bacterial SSU rRNA". It matches the Rfam family "Bacterial small subunit ribosomal RNA", at positions 1 to 1163 of the family's 1533-position model. The record is from RNAcentral.
AUUCGAUUAGAGUUUGAUCAUGGCUCAGGACGAACGCUGGCGGCGUGCUUAACACAUGCAAGUCGAACGGAAAGGCCCUGCUUUUGUGGGGUGCUCGAGUGGCGAACGGGUGAGUAACACGUGAGUAACCUGCCCUUGACUUUGGGAUAACUUCAGGAAACUGGGGCUAAUACCGGAUAGGAGCUCCUGCUGCAUGGUGGGGGUUGGAAAGUUUCGGCGGUUGGGGAUGGACUCGCGGCUUAUCAGCUUGUUGGUGGGGUAGUGGCUUACCAAGGCUUUGACGGGUAGCCGGCCUGAGAGGGUGACCGGCCACAUUGGGACUGAGAUACGGCCCAGACUCCUACGGGAGGCAGCAGUGGGGAAUAUUGCACAAUGGGCGGAAGCCUGAUGCAGCAACGCCGCGUGCGGGAUGACGGCCUUCGGGUUGUAAACCGCUUUCGCCUGUGACGAAGCGUGAGUGACGGUAAUGGGUAAAGAAGCACCGGCUAACUACGUGCCAGCAGCCGCGGUGAUACGUAGGGUGCGAGCGUUGUCCGGAUUUAUUGGGCGUAAAGGGCUCGUAGGUGGUUGAUCGCGUCGGAAGUGUAAUCUUGGGGCUUAACCCUGAGCGUGCUUUCGAUACGGGUUGACUUGAGGAAGGUAGGGGAGAAUGGAAUUCCUGGUGGAGCGGUGGAAUGCGCAGAUAUCAGGAGGAACACCAGUGGCGAAGGCGGUUCUCUGGGCCUUUCCUGACGCUGAGGAGCGAAAGCGUGGGGAGCGAACAGGCUUAGAUACCCUGGUAGUCCACGCUGUAAACGGUGGGUACUAGGUGUGGGGUCCAUUCCACGGGUUCCGUGCCGUAGCUAACGCUUUAAGUACCCCGCCUGGGGAGUACGGCCGCAAGGCUAAAACUCAAAGGAAUUGACGGGGCCCCGCACAAGCGGCGGAGCAUGCGGAUUAAUUCGAUGCAACGCGUAGAACCUUACCUGGGUUUGACAUGGAUCGGGAGUGCUCAGAGAUGGGUGUGCCUCUUUUGGGGUCGGUUCACAGGUGGUGCAUGGCUGUCGUCAGCUCGUGUCGUGAGAUGUUGGGUUAAGUCCCGCAACGGGCGCAACCCUUGUUCACUGUUGCCAGCACGUUAUGGUGGGGACUCAGUGGAGACCGCCGGGGUCAACU